RNAcentral lists this long non-coding RNA (232 nucleotides) under Elaeis guineensis (African oil palm). RNAcentral's name for it is "long non-coding RNA (EGUI_LNC064985)". The record is from RNAcentral. Lineage: Eukaryota; Viridiplantae; Streptophyta; Magnoliopsida; Arecales; Arecaceae.
GAGAUGGAAGCAAAGUUCCAGUUCUAGCAUUAGGAAUCAUGAACCUUGUAAUCAAUUCUCGAAACAUAAUUCUGAGUGAAUGUCACUAUUGUCCAAGCUUUUUAUUAAAUAUUAUUUCUGUAGGCCUUUUGGCCAUGAACGGUUAUCAAUUUUUAAUAAAAAGAAAUAUUUGCAAUAUCAUUUUGAAUGGUGUUACAAUGUUUGUUGGACAACUUAAUAAUGGAAUUUACUU